This 253-nucleotide ribosomal RNA is filed under the name uncultured bacterium. RNAcentral's name for it is "partial 16S ribosomal RNA". It matches the Rfam family "Bacterial small subunit ribosomal RNA", at positions 524 to 776 of the family's 1533-position model. The record is from RNAcentral.
UACAGAGGGGGCAAGCGUUGUUCGGAAUUACUGGGCGUAAAGGGCGCGUAGGCGGCCUUCUAAGUCGAACGUGAAAUCCCCGGGCUCAACCCGGGAACUGCGUCCGAUACUGGAAGGCUUGAAUCCGGGAGAGGGAUGCGGAAUUCCCAAUGUAGCGGUGAAAUGCGUAGAUAUUGGGAGGAACACCAGUGGCGAAGGCGGCUACCUGGACCGGUUCUGACGCUGAGGCGCGAAAGCGUGGGUAGCAAACAGG